UGUAGCAUGCGAUUACUAAUGCAGUAAAAAUGUUGUAAAUGAGAAUUACCCAAAAUUACGACGCGAGCGAGAGCCGAAUAACAGCCUUUUUGUAAAAGCAAUAAUCGUCUAAUUUAAUAAAAACUUUUAUAUUUUACAAUGUUAUAUUGCUAAUGAAGUGCCUAAAUAUUUUGAUGGUUUUUUAUAAUUAGUGCAUUUAAUGCUAUAGUGAUGUCGAAGAACAAAAUCGCCGCACGGAUAGACAGUCAAAAUGUUGAAGUCAAAACUAAGUUUGACGCAGAAUUCCGGCGGUUCUCCCUCAACCGCUCAGAGAAGCUCAAGUACGAGGACUUCAAGGCUCUGAUCGAGAAGCUCCACAGACUCCAUGACGUCACAUUCCUCAUCUCGUACACGGACCCUCGGGAUGGGGACCUGCUGCCCAUCAACAAUGAUGAUAACUUCGCGCGAGCGCUGCUCACGGCGCGCCCGCUGCUCAGGGUCAUCAUACAGAGGAAGGGUGACAGCCUCGAAGAGCUCAAUGGGUACGGUACGAUGCGGCACCGGAACUUCAUCUCAUCCAUCCUGAGCGGCACGCCCGCGAAGAACAAGGGCCUGGCCAUAUCCAACCCGCACGACUUUAGAAUGGUGUCAGCUAUCAUCGACGUGGACAUAGUGCCUGAAACGUGUCGGAGGGUCAAAUUGCUCAAGCAUGGCUCGGAUCGACCGCUAGGAUUCUUCAUAAGGGACGGCACGUCGGUGCGCGUGACGCCGGGCGGCGUGGAGCGCGCGCCCGGCAUCUUCAUCUCGCGCCUCGUGCCCGGCGGGCUCGCCGAGUCCACCGGCCUGCUUGGCGUUAAUGAUGAGGUGCUGGAAGUCAACGGGAUCGACGUGUGCAACAAGACGCUAGACCAGGUGACGGACAUGAUGGUGGCCAACUCCUCCAAUCUCAUCAUCACCGUCCGCCCCGCCAACCAGCGCGCCGGGCCUCCCCCGCCGGCCACGGCGUCGCAGCCUAGCUCCGAGCCCGACGACGACAGGUUCGACCAAGACGAGCAGGAUGAGAUCGUAGACCUGACGGCCGUCACCCUCGAGGAACCGGAGACCUUCCCCUUACCCAGCAAGGACGACGGCCAGGUCCUACACCUGUAGUGCAGUGUAAAGUGAGGUCUACAGUGCAUUCAAGGUCUACACCUGUAGAGUGAGGUCUAUAGCGCAGUAAGGUCCCUACACCUGUGGCGCAAAUGCAUAGUUAAGUCUACAGUGCAUUCAAGGUCUACACCUGUAGUGCGCAAUGAGGUCUACAGUUCAGUAAGGUGCUACACCUAUAGUGCAGUGCACAGUGAGGUCUACAGUGCAUUCAAGGUCUACACCUGUAGUGUACAGUGAGGUCUACAGUGCAUUCAAGGUCUACACCUGUAGUGUACAGUGAGGUCUACGGUCUGCGACCCAGCUGCUGUGUCUCUAG
This 1444-nucleotide unclassified non-coding RNA is filed under the name Leguminivora glycinivorella. Its description in RNAcentral is "partitioning defective protein 6-like, transcript variant X2". Lineage: Eukaryota; Metazoa; Arthropoda; Insecta; Lepidoptera; Tortricidae. The record is from RNAcentral.